This 7530-nucleotide long non-coding RNA is filed under the name Homo sapiens (human). Its description in RNAcentral is "HSALNT0212092". Lineage: Eukaryota; Metazoa; Chordata; Mammalia; Primates; Hominidae. The record is from RNAcentral.
AUUUCAAAGAAUUACAAGCAAGGAAUAAAUGUGACUAUCUCCAAGUUGCAAAUGUGAGUUAAAAUUGUUUGAAAGAGCAUUUAUUCACUGAAAAUAAACUGUACACAUACACAAUAAGGGAUAUUGAUGAACUAUUAAUAGUUAUUAUCUCGAGGAAGUAUAUACAUACAGAAUUAUGCACUUAAAAUAAAAAUUUUAUCCUGUUAGUUUGCAAGUUCUUUCUACAUGAAAUGCAUGAACAGAUCAUGCUUUCUUGGUUUUACUGUGUUGCUCACGUAAAGAUUAUUCAGGUGAUGGCUUGGCACGGUGGCUCAUGCUUGUGAUCCCAGCACUUUGGGAGGCCGAGGCAGGCAGAUCACUUGAGAUCAGGAGUUCAAGAUCAGCCUGGCCAACAUGGUGAAACCCUGUCUCUACCAAAAAUACAAAAAUUAGCCGGCUGUGGUGGCACAUGCCUGUAGUCCCAGCUACUUGGGAGGGUGAGGCAGGAGAAUCGCUUGAACGUCGGAGGCAGAGGUUGCAGUGAACUGAGAUCACACCAUUGCACUCCAGCCUGGGCAACAGGGUGAGACUCUGUUUAAAAAAAAAAAAAUUUCUUCAGGUGACCCAACAUGGAGGAGUGAGCCGUCAAAGUCAGACGAUCUAAGCUUCCAGACUGUUUUGAACCUCCCAUCUUCCAUUUCUUCUUGGAAUCUGCAUAUCAAAAUUAAAAUAUUUUGGGGGACCAGUUUUACUGAGUGGAAUUAAACUAUCCAGCAUUUUAAAAUAUGUUGGACAUGUUUUUAAGAGGAAGAUCUUGUUCAGCUUUUGGCUCCUGCUUGAGCAAGCUCAAGGAGCAAAUGCUGAAACAUCUCCCCACUGCAAUGUCAACUCAUUAAUGAGAAGCAAAGUCCAACUGAAUUCAGCUGCAAAUUUCAGCAUUAACAAAAUCUGAGCCAACUUCAGGACAAAGCCGAAAGGAACUAAUGUACCAUAAAUUUACCCAUGCCAACCUCUACGCUGCAGACAAGGCAAGGAGAAUGUGUGGGUUCUGAGCAAGGGCAGGGCAGGGAGGGUUCUCUCCUUCAGGAUGUGAUCAUUUCAAUGUGCCUAAUUCAGUAGAAAUGUUUUUAUUCAAAUGAAGAGAGGGCUUUAGUUAUCCUGGAUGGGGAAUUUAUUUUACCACUACAGAAAAGGCACUGGGAAUUAAACAUUUUUAAGAUUACAAGUAAAUGGAUUCUUGGAGGCAAAUGGAUUGUUGAUACCAGUUUUCUCCCAUUCAUUUUUUUUGAAGAGGAUAAAAUAGACUUUCCUUUGUGGCCUGGGAAAGGAAGUAGCUGGGGCGGGGUGCCAUGCUGUGGCAGGCUGUAGGAAGAUAGGCAGGCCCUUGUGGUAGAAGCCCUUUUGGCUGCUUGCAUCAGUGGUUACAAGGAAGAAAUCAGGGAUACAUUUGCAAUAAAGAGAAAUAAUCUGCUGGGCACGGUGGCUUACAUCUGUAAUCCCAGUACUUUGGGAAGCCGAGGCAGGCAGGUCACCUGAGGUCAGGAGUUCGAGACCAGCCUGACCAACAUGGAGAAACCUCAUCUCUACUAAAAAAAGACAAAAUUAGCUGGGCGUGGUGAUACAUGCCUGUAAUCCUAGCUACUUGGGAGGCUGAGACAGGAGAAUCGCUUGAGCCCAGGAGAUGGAGGUUGCCGUGAGCCGAGAUAACGCCAUUGAACUCCAGCCUGGGCGAUAAGAGUGAAACUCCAUCCAAAAAAAAAAAAAAAGAAAUAAUCUUUGGUAAGAUUCUGUUUUGGGAUUUGCUGAAACCCAAGAAUGUUAGCUGCUUUGGCUAGCUGAGUUUCGCUGUGUUGGCCAGGCUGGUCUGGAACUCCUCACCUCAGGUGAUCUACCCACCUUGGCCUCUCAAAGUGCUGGGAUUACAGGCGUGAGCCACUGUGCCUGGCCUUUAAAAGCUUUUCAGUUGAAAGGUAAUCUUGGAACACAGGUGGGUUCCAGUUGCUUGGAGCAUGAGGAACACCUGAUUGAAUGUCCUAACGUCAGACGUGUGUCUGCAAGUGGAAAGUGAAGCCUGCUGCAGGAAGAGGGAGGUGGUUGGUGCUUCCUAGAAGGGGUGGGCCUUUAAUGACUGCACCUGCACAGUGCUAUCAGGUCCUUAUUGUGGGACCGAAUCACUGACAUCCUAAUGAAAAAAUUAGCUAGGCCAUUUGCAGGUACAAGAGCACAGGUGGUCCUUGUGCUCUUUUUUGAUUCGUUUGAAGGUAGGUGUGAUUUGCCUUCAGGACUUCAUCAGCAACAAUAGGAUUUGAAUAAGUGGAUAGGCUGCUGUAUGUGGUUGUGUACAAUUUUUAAAGGGCUCUUGUACACAGGGUGGGGUGUGGGCAGGGAGAACAAAGCAUGGUCCCCAGUGAUGUUUAGUAAAAAUAUGUCUAGAAAGUUAAUAAAACUCUGGUCUGUGCUUAAGGCAAUAACAACAUGAGUCUCUGGCAUGAAUCUGUGUCCUGUUUAGAGGACAGGUUGUUUGUAAUCAACCCUUAUUCUGUCAUCUAGAGUUCCGUGUUUUAAGCAAUGAAGACAGAAACUCUAUCAAAAGUUUCAUGCCUCAGAAAUUUGUUUUAUCUUUACUUUGUGAGUUUAUAAAACUUCAUGUACCCUGAAUCUUUCUUAUGUCUUCGUGGAAAAUAAUUUUGGGGGAGCACUUUUUUCUCACCCUAAUAAACAUGAAAAAGACUUUCAGAACAGAAGUACUUUAGAUCUAGCAGAUCUAGCAAACCAGAUGCUGCUUUUCUGCUUUUGAUUCUAAAAUAUGCAUAUUCCUUUCCUGCAGCUGGGCAGCACAUGACAAGAAAAAGAAAAGACUUCUGACAGCCCUUUUAUUCAUCCAGUAAAUGUGAGCAACUCAAAUAUUAGCCUAAGGAACACUCAAAAGGUAGCAUCUGAGAGACAGGCUAAGUUGAUGGUUCUUCAUUAGGCAGCUAUGUGUUUGGAUAUAAAGACUGAUGAUGAACUUGGUUGUCUCCGAGACCAGUACUUCCCCUAUUUCACUGUGUAUACAAAUCACUUGGGGGUCCUGUUAAAAAUGCAGAUUCUGAUUCAGUAGGUCUGGGCUGGGCCUGAAAUUCCACAGUCCUUGGUAGCUCCCAGGUAAUGCUGACGCUGCUGGUUCCCAGGCCACAUCUUGAGUCACAAGGGGCUGGACAAUUUCUUGUUCUAACAAAGGCCUGGAGAAGGCAAUUUUCUGGAAUGGCAGAUGGAGACACCCUCAGAUUUCCCAGAAAUAUGAACAGAAAAAAGACGAUUUAAUGACUUAAAAGUCAGAACAUGGCACAAAAUAAAUUGUAAUGUUAAAAAAUGCAUAGAAUAGGCUGGGUGCAGUGGCUCACGCCUGUAAUCCCAGCAUUUUGGGAGGCCAAGGCGGGCGGAUCACAAGGUCAGGAAGAUUGAGAACAUCCUGGCUAAUACGGUGAAACCCCGUCUCUACUAAAAAUACAAAAAAAAAUUAGCUGGGCGUGGUGGCGGGAACCUGUAGUCCCAGCUACUUGGGAGACUGAGGCAGAAUGGCGUGAACCUGGGAGGGGAGCUUGCAGUGAGCUGAGAUCGUGCCACUGCACUCCAGCCUGGGCGACAGAGCGAGACUCCGUCUCAAAAAAAAAAAAGCAUAAAAUAAUAUUCCAAUAAUUAUGACACAGGCACACAGAAUCACCAUUACAUAAGAUGCAGAUUGUAAGAACGCCAUCCCGUGAGCAGGUCAGCCUGCUUCCCUUGACGAUCAUUUCCUCUGCAGAGAUUACAUUAGGAGGAACAUGAACUGUUGCAAUUGGGAUAAAAUUCUGCUGAGAUGUACUUAAACAGUAAUUACUGUUUACUCAGAGCAGAAAACAAUUUAAACCAGGUGAUGAGAAGGAUGUAGAAUUCAUUAGUUUUCUUGCCCACAGCUCCUCUAGGAGAAAAGAAUCUGAUUGCUUGAAAAAAAAUUGAUUUAAAAAAUGGCAAAUGGAGGUAAUUUUAGAUAUGUAUUCACAAAGCUGCCCCAAACAUACUGCCCUAUUCAGAAGUUGUUUCUAUUUUUUUUCCCCCAAAGAACUAACAUAAGCUCAAAAGAUUGAGACAGACUUGCACAGAAUCACUGGGAGGCUAAGUGUGCUGAGGUUGCUUCAAGGCAUGACUCAGGUGUGGGCCCUGGAGACCCUCUCCUUGUAGAGCCUCACACAUCAUUUCCCCUGUAACACUGAUCAGAUUCUGUUUGGCAAAGAUCACAGCAUAUACUGGGAGGCUUGGAGGACAUGGCUAAAAAUACAGCAAAAUUACUCCAGUUAUAGUAUCAUGGAACUUCUGAGUCACUGCAGAACUCAUAGAACAAAAUGAAAUGAUCAAAGUAGAACAUAUUUAAAACACACGCACACACUGAAGCAACCCUAGUUUUUUGACAUAAUAUCCUCUAAGGACAAAAACAUAGAUUGUGACCAAGACUAAUGGUGCAGAUUUUACUCUAAUUUCCGGUAGUGGAAUUUCAAAGCCAAGAACUAUUGUUGAACUUGAAUCUCACCAUUUCACAGAGCAGCCAAUCCCGCUUUGACUCAUUCGUCCCCUAACAGAAAGAGAUCUUCAAAAUAGCACGGCGGAGCUUCUGAUGGCUGAAGUGCUGCUGAGUAGAACUUGUGCUUUAAUUUCCUUUCUGGUCUUUGUUGACCGUUGUGGCACUGUGAACUGUUGCUUUAUCUCGUAUUUUUUUUUCUGUUAUUGUAGUUGUACAUUUUAAAUACAAUCUUUCUAUUGAGAAAUAUCACACUGACGGUGAAUAAAUAUUAUUCAUGCAAGUAACUAUCCUUCCAGCUAUCCCCAAAUCAUCCUUUUCAUGUUCCUGCUCAAUGAAACUUUCAAAAUCAUUUAUUCACUCAUAUUUCUUGGCAAGUUUUCCUUGAUUGCCUGCUGUGUAGAAGCAGAGAAAGUGACAGGGUGAUGUCCUCCAUUGCUAUUAAAGCCCCAAAGGGCUUUGCCCAGGGUUCCGCUUGUUUUUUAGUGAACUGUGAGGUGGAAUUACCCAGGAUUAUCACAUGGUUAGCCCUGUUGACUGACUCUGCCUAGAUACCCAGAACCCUGGAGUGUUCUUCACGCUAACAGUCCUUUCUUCCUGUGCUUCUAGAGACCAGGCAGAAGUUACCAACUUCCCGGAAUAAUUGUCAGCUGUGCGUUUUGGUUGUUUGGGUUUAGCUUCCUCUCCGUUCUCUAAAUAUUUUCUUUUUCAAAGUGCCUCACUUCCUUUGUUAGAAACUAAGUUUCCCUGACCUUCUCUUUUCCUUUCUGUUUCUAAUGGUCCUUGAAAUGAAAAUAGUUCGUUGAGUUUCCUUAUGUGUACUUGGGCAGCCUACUCAAUGACUCCUGGGAGAAUAAUAGCUGGUGACCUGUGGCGCUCUCCGUUGAGAGAGAAUGCGCAGUUUGCAUUUUGGCAGCUAAACAUAGGGAUGGAUUUAAAAACGAAUGUGUAAGUAGCUGGAUAAUAAUUUCCAGUAUGAUGUCAACAUUUCUUUAAAACAAAGCCUUAAUUUCUAAUCUUCUGUCACUUUGGUCUCAAGGAUGAGUUUGCCUUUAUGAAUGUAAUAUGGCAAUCUUGAAAGCCUUACCUCAAGUCAAAUAUUUCUUCUUGAAGAUGUUCUACUUUGCAAGGUACUGCCCACAGGAACGUAUACCCUAAAUAAUGACUUUUUUUGUUGUUGUUGGCUUCAAAUUCUGGAUUUAGUUUUAUUUUCUCCUAAAAUUGUGAGUGUAGUCGUGAUUGCUUUUUUACUACCAUGUCAUACUAUUUCCUCCUUGGGGGUCCUAUGCAAAUUGCGUAUGGUCCCAUCCACUUCAUUUGGUACUUCCCUUAUGAACUAGAAAUCUUCCAAAUGGUUCUUUGCAUAUCCUGAUCGGACAUAUUCUCACUGAAGUCUCAGGACCAACCCCCGCACCUUGUCAUAUGUGUAUGACUUAGUUUUUGACUUCCUGGCUUAGUGCUUUCUGGUUUAGGGUUGCUAUAAUUAUUGUCUUCAGCAAUUGUUCAUUUUUCUUUCUUUUUAUCCAUUACUUCUUUUAUGUCGAAAUUUCCCCACGUGAUCAAGUAAUUAUUCUUUGUAACUUUUCUUGGCAGAGAUCAGCCCGGAUUUCUUACUGUGGAUGUGGCUUUGAUUUGUGUCCUAGUCCUUUUUUGUUCCCAAAAUAGCCCAAGGAGUCCAUUCCUUCUACCAAACAACCAACCAUCUGAGUGAAAUAAAUAUGUUUAGCUACUUGAUUGAGCCACUAUUAGAUGGGGGUUAAAUUGCCAUAUACUGUGGAUUUCAGGCAUCUUAGUAUGUAGGUCAAAUUCUCUAGUGUAUUACUAGUUUGAUGGAUUACUUUAUUUUUAGUGGCCUAACUACAUGAAGUUAUGUGUUUAAAAUGUGGCUGGAAUCUAUAGGAUAAACAGUUGCAACUCUAAUAACAUGGCUACAAAUCUCCAGCUUAAUAUGUGAUAAUAAAUACAUUGUAGUAUUGGGUUGAAGAGGAUUGUAUAGGAAGCAGAAAAACCGAGAUCUGUCCCAGCACUGCUACAACACACCUCUUUUUACCCAUCUAGGCCUGAGUUUCUCAUUGGUACAAUGAGGAAUUCAACUAUAGUUUCUGAGGCCUUGUCUAGCUCUGAAAAGCUAGGAUUCUACUUUCAAAUGGAUAUCAGCUGCCACUUCUUGACUUUGGAAGACGGUGUAGACCAUUAAAGGAUCCUUCUUCAAAUUUCUAUGUCUCUUCUUUUUUUUGGAGAUAGAGUCUCGCUGUUUCGCCCAGGCGGGAGUGCAGUGGUGCGGUCUCGGCUCACUGAAAGCUCCGCCUCCUGGGUUCACGCCAUUCUCCUGCCUCAGCCUCCCGAGUAGCUGGGAGUACAGGUGCCCGCCACCACGCCCAGCUAUUUUUUCUGUAUUUUUAGUAGAGAUGGGGUUUCACUGUGUUAGCCAGGAUGGUCUUGAUCUCCUGACCUGGUGAUCUGCCAGCCUUGGCCUCCCAAAGUGCUGGGAUUACAGGCGUGAGCCACUGCGCCGGGCCUCUAUGUCUCUUCUUAUCUUUGGUUUCAGAAGACAGUUUAAUCUUAUAGCAGAAAACACUUUUUAGUGAAACAAACUGGAUCUUGCCGUGAAACAAGGAAUAACUGAUUAAUUUGGCAGAAUGACAUCAACUUAUUUAGGUUGCUUUGUUCUAGAUUGUUUUAUUCAGUAAUUAGCUCUUAAGACCCCUGGGAGCCUGUGCUCUACCCAGACACUAACAACAGUCUCUAUCCAGUUGCUGGUUCUGGGUGACGUGAUCUCCCCAUCAAGAUCAACUUACUUCCUGUGGCCCAUUAGGGAAGUGGUGACCUCGGGAGCUAUUUGCCUGUUGAGUGCACACACCUGGAAACAUACUGCUCUCAUUUUUUCAUCCACAUCAGUGAGAAAUGAGUGGCCCGUUAGCAAGAUAUAACUAUGCAAUCAUGCAACAAAGCUGCCUAAUAACAUUUCAUUUAUUACAGGACUAAAAGUUCAUUAUUGUUUGUAAAGGAUGAAUUCA